AUUCCAUGGUGAGGACAACUUGUGGUGUAUCCUUUGAGACGUUCCCAAGCUUCAAUGAGAGAUUCGUGACUGUCCUGCCUAAAUGAGUUGAUAUCGCUUCUGUACU
Arabis alpina (gray rockcress) is the source of this 106-nucleotide non-coding RNA. The record is from Rfam. Lineage: Eukaryota; Viridiplantae; Streptophyta; Magnoliopsida; Brassicales; Brassicaceae.